RNAcentral lists this unclassified non-coding RNA (328 nucleotides) under soil metagenome. Its description in RNAcentral is "partial contains 5.8S ribosomal RNA, internal transcribed spacer 2, and large subunit ribosomal RNA". The stretch from base 1 to 120 matches the Rfam family "5.8S ribosomal RNA", at positions 35 to 154 of the family's 154-position model. The record is from RNAcentral.
GAUGAAGAACGUAGCGAAAUGCGAUAAGUAAUGUGAAUUGCAGAAUUCAGUGAAUCAUCGAAUCUUUGAACGCACAUUGCGCCCUCUGGUAUUCCGGGGGGCAUGCCUGUUCGAGCGUCAUUAUAACCACUCAAGCUCUCGCUUGGUAUUGGGGUUCGCGGUUUCGCGGCCCCUAAAAUCAGUGGCGGUGCCUGUCGGCUCUACGCGUAGUAAUACUUCUCGCGAUUGAGUUCGAUAGGUCUACUUGCCAGUAACCCCCAAUUUUUACAGGUUGACCUCGGAUCAGGUAGGGAUACCCGCUGAACUUAAGCAUAUCAAUAGCGGAGGA